GCUGAGUGUGGUGGUGCAUACCUGUAAUCUCAGCAGCUUGGAAGGCUGAGACAAGAGAAUCAUGAGUUCAAAGCCAGCUUUAGCAAUGAGCAACUCAGUGAGAUCCUGUCUCAA
This 114-nucleotide small RNA is filed under the name Marmota monax (woodchuck). The record is from RNAcentral. Lineage: Eukaryota; Metazoa; Chordata; Mammalia; Rodentia; Sciuridae.